RNAcentral lists this long non-coding RNA (752 nucleotides) under Marmota monax (woodchuck). Lineage: Eukaryota; Metazoa; Chordata; Mammalia; Rodentia; Sciuridae. The record is from RNAcentral.
UUCAUAUAAAUGUUCAUAUAAAAUGUUAGGUGCAGUUAUGAGGAAGCAGACAUCUGAUUUUGAAUAACUGCUUUCUGUGGACAUGUUAAAUCUAUAAUGCAAGAGGUUCACGGUGAUUGUAGUAUGUGGGCGUUUUAGAACAAAAGUAAUUCCAACAUUAUCUGGAUGAAUAGACAGUAACAACAAAUGAGCUUAUUUCUAAGCAAGACCUAUAAUUGAGCUGGUGAGUAUUGUUUCCUGACAUGUUUUUGUGACUUUUCUUCAAGUGUAGAGCAAAUAUCCCUGACCCAUAUAUACUGUAUUUUGUGGCAUAUUCAUUUGACACACUUUCUAAAGUGAGUUGGUCUUUUAUAAAUAGCUUUCUGACAAUAAAAAGCUGGUCUUAGGCCUGAUUAUUUGUAAUUUUCCUCAGCGACUUAGAUAAUGGAGCAGAGACUAUGAACAUUGAAUUUAUAGAUAGAUGGCAUCAAAUUGUUAUUUUAAGCACUAGUUUAGAAUUCAAAAUUAUUCUGGCCCAAUGGAAAAGAGAGUUCAAAAUGGAAUGAGUUCAAUUUUGAGAGAAUAUAUGAGAUACGUGACAGAGAAUGGUUAGACAUUAAAUAACAAGAGGAUGAAUACUGAGGGCCAGUGGAAUGGCAGUUAUACCAGUUGGAGAACCUACAUAUGGAUGUUCUCAUACCCCUCCUCAGGGAUGUCACAUAAACUUCCUUUGGAUAACACCAAUUAUUGUGUGCCUACUCCAAGGGUUUGAU